CUAAGAAUAUUCCGCAAUGGACGAAAGUCUGACGGAGCGACGCCGCGUGGAUGAAGAAGGCCGAAAUGUUGUAAAAUCCUUUUGCUGAGGAAGAAUAAGUGUGGGAGGGAAUGCCCGCAUGAUGACAUGAAUCGGCUAAUAAGCCCCGGCCAACUACGUGCCAGCAGCCGCGGUAACACGUAGGGGGCGAGCGUUGUUCGAAAUUACUGGGCGUAAAGGGCAUGUAGGCGGUUAUGUAAGCCUGGCGUUAAAGUCCACAGCUGAACUGUGGGAUUGCGUUGGGAACUAGAUGACUAGAGUUACGGAGAGGGAGCUAGAAUUACUGGUGUAGGGGUGGAAUCUGUAGAGAUCAGGAAGAAUACCGAUGGCGAAGGCGGCGUGCUGGGCUUUAACUGACGCUGAGGCUCGAAAGUGUGGGGAGCAAACA
RNAcentral lists this ribosomal RNA (427 nucleotides) under uncultured prokaryote. RNAcentral's name for it is "bacterial SSU rRNA". It matches the Rfam family "Bacterial small subunit ribosomal RNA", at positions 355 to 774 of the family's 1533-position model. The record is from RNAcentral.